GUGACAGCCUUCUGACCCUUAAGAAAAGAAUCAACCUUCCAUUUUUCACAUUGUCUUCUAAAUUUCAAUGUGCUUACAUUGCUGAGAACUUAACGACAAUGCCCAUAACAUGACCACUGUCUCUUGGGUGAUUAUAUUCAUUAAGUCAGAAGAAAAAGAGCAAGGGAAGAGUAGAAAUGAAACGACAAUUUUGCCUUCAGUGUCAGCUGCAUGUUAGAAGAAGAGAAAGGACACAUUUCUCAAACUCAGCAUGAGUGAGACGAUGACCUUUAUGAAUUCUGAUCUCUUUACGUAAUCAAACAAAGGCUUUUCACUCCUCUUGGCAGGAGACUCUGGAGGUGCCUUUGACUCAAGGACAAAACUUUGAUUUGAAAGGGGCUAUGGUUUCUAUUUUUCCUUCCUAGGAGCAGACACAGAAACCUUUCCUUUCUUACAGAAAACCAGACUCUCCGGGUGGAGUAGCAAGGGCAGGAUCUUUCAUAGGAUAAUUCAAGAGUUUUGGGGUUGGGAACCCACAGUUCCUUGCAAUGCUUCCGUGCAGCCAGGGGAGGACUAGAGAGUCAUUAUUCUUUGCGGCAAAAGAAAAGACAAGAGGGCACUGUGCAUGAAAAGGACCAAACCAGCUCCAGAAGACAGGUGGCCAAUGGCCAGGUGCCGGCUAGGCCAGCUCUUGCUGCUAGAGUGUUGUUGGCAGGUACUUAGAGAGCCUGCUUCUAGAACUCUCUCCAAGGCUAUCACUUCUCAGGAUUUGCUCUCUAAUUCUCUGGGCUUCCCUCCUUCAAAACUGGCCUGAAGACUCACUGCUUGGCUGAUUUCAAUCAAUGCCUCGGUCAGACUGACCCUCCGUGAAUGUUGCAUCAACAAACCUCAGAAGAGUAAAGAUGGAUUGAUUGUACAUUUCUCGUGAUAUCUGACCCCCGCCUCCCCGCCCCCGACUAUGAGUAUUUCCCAACACAAAGGAGACCAAAUUCUUUUCUCAGAGCAGACAGAAUGCUGAAGGAGGGAAGUGAAGAAGAGAGGCAAAGCCUGGUCUGCUGUGAUGGAUCUGUCCACUCAGACGCUGUUCAGCUCACUUUCUCUUUGCUCAAAUGCCAGCUGCUUACCCCAGCUCCACCCUAAUCACCCAAGUCCAAGUGAUGGUUCCUUCUCCCACGGAUGAGUGUGAAAGGGAACAGAGAAUCCCUGGUUUUGCCUGGUGCCGUGGUUCACAACCAGGAAGGCUGCGGCUCGAGGGUGGUGAUUGGCAGUGUGGAGACACAGGGUUUUCCCACAAUCUCAAGAAAGGAGGUGCUGCUCCCAUCUAGUGAGAAAGACCUCGGUUCAAAGGGCACCUCUCGGGGAAGCCCUCCCUGAGCACCUGUGUGCAGCUGCCUGCAGUCCGGCAUGCAGGGGCCUGUCUGGCCCUGCCAGUCUGUCAGGCUUCCCAGCAGUCCUGGCUGAGGCCGGGCCCUGUGCGCAGAGGACCCUGGACACCCAACUCCCCG
RNAcentral lists this long non-coding RNA (1484 nucleotides) under Heterocephalus glaber (naked mole-rat). RNAcentral's name for it is "lncRNA (ENSHGLG00100038514.1)". Lineage: Eukaryota; Metazoa; Chordata; Mammalia; Rodentia; Bathyergidae. The record is from RNAcentral.